Molecule: ribosomal RNA, 326 nt
Filed under: uncultured eukaryote
Lineage: Eukaryota
Description: partial 18S ribosomal RNA
Rfam family: Eukaryotic small subunit ribosomal RNA
Source: RNAcentral
CCCUUAGAUGUUCUGGGCCGCACGCGCGCUACACUGAUGCAUUCAACAAGCCUAGCCUUGACCGAGAGGUCCGGGUAAUCUUUGAAACUGCAUCGUGAUGGGGCUAGAUUAUUGCAAUUAUUAAUCUUCAACGAGGAAUGCCUAGUAAGCGUGAUUCAUCAAAUCGCGUUGAUUACGUCCCUGCCCUUUGUACACACCGCCCGUCGCUCCUAUCGAUUGAAUGUGUUGGUGAGGAGCUCGGAUUGGCAGCAGUUGGUGGUUCGCCACCGGCUAUUGCUGAGAAGUCCUCCAAACCGCCCCAUUUAGAGGAAGGAGAAGUCGUAACA